RNAcentral lists this ribosomal RNA (402 nucleotides) under bacterium. RNAcentral's name for it is "partial 16S ribosomal RNA". It matches the Rfam family "Bacterial small subunit ribosomal RNA", at positions 355 to 776 of the family's 1533-position model. The record is from RNAcentral.
UGGGGAAUUUUGCACAAUGGGGGAAACCCUGAUGCAGCGACGCCGCGUGAUUUAGAAGGCCUUCGGGUUGUAAAAAUCUUUUUUACGGGAUGAAAAUGACAGUACCGUAAGAAUAAGGUCCGGCUAAAUACGUGCCAGCAGCCGCGGUAAUACGUAUGGACCGAGCGUUGUCCGGAAUCAUUGGGCGUAAAGGGUACGUAGGCGGCCUAGUAAGUUAGAAGUGAAAUAAUAUAGCUCAACUAUAUAAAGCGUUUAAAACUGCUAGGCUUGAAGGAUGGAAGGGAAAGGGGAAUUCCUAGGGUAGCGGGGAAAUGCGCAGGUAUUAGGAAGAAUACCGGGUGCGAAGGCGACUUUCUGGUCAUCAACUGACGCUGAGGGACGAAAGCGGUGGUAGCAAACAGG